GGUCUAUGGGUCUGUUGGGUAUUGCCCUGUAUGGCAGCCUGCUGCUCUCUGUUCUAGCUGCUGGCACUUAAGGACCCUCCACAACCAUGCUACCUAGACCUGAGGGCCCUGCUCCAGAGGCGACCUGCUGGCUGGCCUGGAGAAAGCAGGACACAAUGGAACGCUUUAAGAAUUGUGGAAUGCUGUGAAGAGCCCAGCUGCCUCAUAGAUAGAAAAAAAAAAGAUUUGGGACUAUUUUCAGCUGAAGCGUAUACGACGUCCAUAAAAGAGUCUUCACAUCUUUCACAAUGAAUCCUGUUUAUAGCCCCGUUCAACCUGGGGCUCCUUACGGAAACCCGAAAAACAUGGCCUACACAGGU
Molecule: long non-coding RNA, 359 nt
Organism: Heteronotia binoei (common prickly gecko)
Lineage: Eukaryota; Metazoa; Chordata; Lepidosauria; Squamata; Gekkonidae
Exons: 3
Source: RefSeq, a predicted model, not a curated record